RNAcentral lists this ribosomal RNA (253 nucleotides) under uncultured bacterium. Its description in RNAcentral is "partial 16S ribosomal RNA". It matches the Rfam family "Bacterial small subunit ribosomal RNA", at positions 524 to 776 of the family's 1533-position model. The record is from RNAcentral.
UACGUAGGGUGCGAGCGUUGUCCGGAAUUACUGGGCGUAAAGAGCUCGUAGGCGGCUUGUCGCGUUGUUCGUGAAAAUUUACCGCUCAACGGUGAACUUGCGGGCGAUACGGGCAGGCUAGAGUACUGCAGGGGAGACUGGAAUUCCUGGUGUAGCGGUGAAAUGCGCAGAUAUCAGGAAGAACACCCGUGGCUAAGGCGGCUCUCUAGUACGGUACUGACGCUGAGACGCGAAAGCGUGGGGAGCGAACAGG